GGGAGGCAGCAGUGAGGAAUAUUGGUCAAUGGACGAGAGUCUGAACCAGCCAAGUAGCGUGAAGGAUGAAGGUUUAUGGAUUGUAAACUUCUUUUAUACGGGAAUAACGAAUCCACGCGUGGAUUUUUGCAUGUACCGUAUGAAUAAGGAUCGGCUAACUCCGUGCCAGCAGCCGCGGUAAUACGGAGGAUCCGAGCGUUAUCCGGAUUUAUUGGGUUUAAAGGGAGCGUAGAUGGGUUGUUAAGCCAGUUGUGAAAGUUUGCGGCUCAACCGUAAAAUUGCAAUUGAUACUGGCAGUCUUGAGUACAGUUGAGGUAGGCGGAAUUCGUGGUGUAGCGGUGAAAUGCUUAGAUAUCACGAAGAACUCCGAUUGCGAAGGCAGCUUACUAACCUGUAACUGACAUUGAUGCUCGAAAGUGUGGGUAUCAAACAGGAUUAGAUACCCUGGUAGUCCACACGGUAAACGAUGAAUACUCGCUGUAGGCGAUAUAGGUCUGCGGCCAAGCGAAAGCAUUAAGUAU
Molecule: ribosomal RNA, 521 nt
Filed under: uncultured bacterium
Lineage: Bacteria
Description: bacterial SSU rRNA
Rfam family: Bacterial small subunit ribosomal RNA
Source: RNAcentral